CCGUUGGAAGGAAGCACUGUCCUUCCCUUUUUCUUCUGCUAAUUGGUCAGUCAUUUUGACAAACAGACAGAGUCACUGCUUUGUUUCCCAUUUCUAUCAUUAGCAGCCACUGUUAUGUUGAUCAGACUCAGAGUAGUUUAGUUAUCUGAGAAACCAAAUGGGAAGGCUUAGAGUCAAAUCCGACUACGAAACUCUUAGGAACGCUCGCAUCGUUGAGAACCAGGCUCGAUUAGCUUCUCUGGGACUGCACAAAACCAUCUCCGAGCUCCGAUCGAUUGUUUCUUCUGCAAUAUCAGAGAAAACCCAGCUCAGAAAAUGGCAAAAGAAAGACUACGAAAUCACGCCUUUGCGCCGCUCCAAUCGUUUGAAACGAACUCCUGCUGCCUCAACUCGCACAAGCAAUUUUUUGCGGCGCUCUAGCCGGCUCAGAGGUAGUGACAUUGGCGAAGAAAAUGGGAGUAAUUCAUCUUCGGGCGAAGGUGAAGAAAAAAGGCCUGCAAAUGCGCCAUUGGUGAAGACAUAUGGUGCCAGGAAUCAAUUAUCGCCUGAGGAUUCUGCUCGGCGCUGCCGUCGCAAGGAGGGGAGGGGCAGCGUUUACAACUCUGUUUUUGGAAUUUGCUGCCAUUUCUGCAGGCAAAAGACAUUGUGUGCUGAGGAAGACUGCAAGCGAUGUGGUAAUCUUGAUGUAAAUCAGCCGUGCACAGGAAAGACAGAUUGUUCAGUUUGUCACUCUAGCAAUGGUGUUCUCUGCCGGGCUUGUCUCAAGCUCAGGUACGGUGAAGAACUGGAGGAGGUAAGAGAAAAUAAGGAAUGGAUGUGCCCUCACUGCAUAGAAGAAAAAGGGAUUAACCCUUAUUGGAUAUGUAACAGUUCAAUAUGCUUGAAGAAUCGAAGGAUGGCUCCAACUGGCAUAGCAAUAUACAGAGCACUGGAGCUGGGAUACAAAUCCGUUGCACAUCUGCUGAUGGAUGAGCUUCAGCGUAGAGAUCCUUCUUGAUUGAGAUGCAGCCAGUCACUAACAGCCUAACAAGUACUUACAGCUUCCCUUUUAGAACCGUACGUUUCAAUGCAUACUAGCUAACCUGUUGAGAGACAAGGACAAGAAGCCCUUGAGGCCCAAGGAGGAUCUCGUUAAGGAAACUGACCAAUCCGAACCACACUACAGGAGUUACAUCCACUCCUCCAAGAGGUGGAAUCAACUUUCUGGUUGCCAUAAGAAAUGGUUCAGUGGGAGCAUAAGCAAUGACAUAUGGAAAUUUCUCCAGUGGAAGCUUAGGGUACCAAGACAUCACUAUUCUCAAAAUAAAUAGGAAGGCAAAUGCUGAGAGAAAGGGCCCUAAAAUACUAAUUGCCAGUUUAGCUGUGGCAGGA
Molecule: non-coding RNA, 1371 nt
Organism: Theobroma cacao (cacao)
Lineage: Eukaryota; Viridiplantae; Streptophyta; Magnoliopsida; Malvales; Malvaceae
Source: RefSeq, a predicted model, not a curated record